This 219-nucleotide small RNA is filed under the name Solanum capsicoides (cockroach berry). RNAcentral describes it as "SprA". Lineage: Eukaryota; Viridiplantae; Streptophyta; Magnoliopsida; Solanales; Solanaceae. The record is from RNAcentral.
UAAUUGAAUAAUUUAACGAUUUCCCCUUCCUAUUUGAUAUUGAUUAGCUCACCAAUACAUAUGUAAUGGAACUCUAUUCGCUUUUCUGAUUGAUAUAUAAAAUAAUCGAAUUAGGAAAUCCCCUAUUUACUAUUCACUGAAUAAUAACUUUUUUGUUGACAAAAGAAUAAAGAUCAUUUCUAUUCCAAGGUGGGGAGUUUAAUUUUCCCCAUCGACCUA